Molecule: ribosomal RNA, 555 nt
Filed under: Triticum aestivum (bread wheat)
Lineage: Eukaryota; Viridiplantae; Streptophyta; Magnoliopsida; Poales; Poaceae
Description: partial small subunit ribosomal RNA
Source: RNAcentral
AUGGCGGCGAUCCACCAGCAGCAGCAGCACAUGCCCCUUCUUCUCCUCACCUUCCUCCUCGCGGCGUCCACGGCGGCGGCCCGGCCUUCGUACGUCAUCAAGUCGACGUGCGUAGCGAUCACCAACGCCACCGUGGGCACCCCCUACCGCUACUGCGUGCGCACGCUCGCCGCCGACCCGGCGGCCGCGCCCGCCAGGGACGCCCGCGGGCUCGCCAUUGCCGCCGCCAAGCUCACCGCCACCAACGUCUCGUCGACGCUGCACGUGCUCAACCUGCUCGUGGACGCCCUCCAAAACUGCAUCGUCACGUACCAAUUCAUGCAAGGGGACGUCGCCGGCGCGCUCGACGACCUCAGCGCCGGCCGCCUCGACGUGGCGUCGCCCAAGCUCAAGCGCGCCUCGUUCCAGCCGGAUUUCUGCGAACUGGCCAUGAUGGAGAGUGACACCGACAAGGAUCCCGUGUCGGAGGAGAACGAUGCUAACCAGUUGCUCUCCGGCAUGGCGUACAACAUCGCGGAACUCAUCGCCAACAGGCGACCGCCGCCGCCAAGAUGA